GAUGAACGCUGGCGGCGUGCCUAAUACAUGCAAGUCGAGCGAACAGACGAGGAGCUUGCUCCUCUGACGUUAGCGGCGGACGGGUGAGUAACACGUGGAUAACCUACCUAUAAGACUGGGAUAACUUCGGGAAACCGGAUCUAAUACCGGAUAAUAUAUUGAACCGCAUGGUUCAAUAGUGAAAGACGGUUUUGCUGUCACUUAUAGAUGUAUCCGCGCCGCAUUAGCUAGUUGGUAAGGUAACGGCUUACCAAGGCAACGAUGCGUAGCCGACCUGAGAGGGUGAUCGGCCACACUGGAACUGAGACACGGUCCAGACUCCUACGGGAGGCAGCAGUAGGGAAUCUUCCGCAAUGGGCGAAAGCCUGACGGAGCAACGCCGCGUGAGUGAUGAAGGUCUUCGGAUCGUAAAACUCUGUUAGUAGGGAAGAACAAAUGUGUAAGUAACUAUGCACGUCUUGACGGUACCUAAUCAGAAAGCCACGGCUAACUACGUG
RNAcentral lists this ribosomal RNA (497 nucleotides) under uncultured bacterium. RNAcentral describes it as "partial 16S ribosomal RNA". It matches the Rfam family "Bacterial small subunit ribosomal RNA", at positions 28 to 507 of the family's 1533-position model. The record is from RNAcentral.